UGGGGAAUAUUGCACAAUGGACGGAAGUCUGAUGCAGCAACGCCGCGUGCGGGAUGACGGCCUUCGGGUUGUAAACCGCUUUUUCUCAUGACGAAGUUUUUUGACGGUAGUGGGGGAAGAAGCACCGGCUAACUACGUGCCAGCAGCCGCGGUGAUACGUAGGGUGCGAGCGUUGUCCGGAAAUAUUGGGCGUAAAGAGCUUGUAGGCGGUUUGUCGCGUCGAUAGUGCAAACUCAGUGCUUAACGCUGAGCCUGCUGUUGAUACGGGCAGACUAGAGGAAGGUAGGGGAGAAUGGAAUUCCCGGUGGAGCGGUGGAAUGCGCAGAUAUCGGGAGGAACACCGGUGGCGAAGGCGGUUCUCUGGGCCUUUCCUGACGCUGAGAAGCGAAAGCGUGGGGAGCGAACAGG
RNAcentral lists this ribosomal RNA (408 nucleotides) under Fusobacteriota bacterium. RNAcentral's name for it is "Fusobacteria bacterium partial 16S ribosomal RNA". It matches the Rfam family "Bacterial small subunit ribosomal RNA", at positions 355 to 776 of the family's 1533-position model. Lineage: Bacteria; Fusobacteriati; Fusobacteriota. The record is from RNAcentral.